UACCUUUCACUGAAUUGUCGUUUCCAUUCCCUAUUGACAAUAGUGUUGGGAUAUAUACUAUUAACCAUACGUUAAGAUAUAAUAUUUAUUAUAGAAUAAAUAUUUAUUUAAUUUUGAUAGAUCAUAUAUUCGUUUAUGGUGUCUAUUUACUUAUAUAGUAGAUGAUUUAGUGUGUAGAGUUUUAGCUUAUACACAAAUGAUUAAAUCACCGGUUCUUAUAAGUGUAAAGUUUUUUGUUCACAAUCUAGGAUGGAAAUUGGACAUGCCAUCGGUAUGAUUGUAGCACAAGAUUAUAUGUAAUUUAUCUUGAUUAUGGGAACAGUAUAGUUCAAACUUCUUGUGCUAGUGUAUUUUGUAUGUAUUGAACGAGACCGAGUAGAGAUAGUUGUUUUAGACUGACUCACAAAAGCAUAUUCUUUAAACUGUUAAAUGUACUUAUAUUCUCAAUCUUGAUAUAACUAUUAUGAUUUGUAUAUAUUAAUUAUCGUUUUGAUUUAUUAAAAGGUAAGAUUCUGAGAUGAGUCAAUAUGUCUGGUAGAUUGGAUGAUAAUAAUAUAUAUGAGUGAAAUAAUAAGUUAGUCGAUGGAAUCCAUGUCUUGCUAUAUAGAUUGAUUGAUAUGCCUCUUUGAGAAACUUAUAAGUUUUCAGUAAUUUAAUUUAUUGAUUAGUAUCUGUAAUCUUAACAUGGGGAAUUACAUAAGUGUUUAAUGGGGAAUUUCGAAAUAUAAAUAGAGGAGUGCAAUUACGAAUUUCUAGGGGAAUGAUUUGUAAUUUAUUAUGGUAAGAAUAGUUCAAAUUAAUUAUUUGGAAUUAUUUCCAUAAUAGGAAGUCUCAAUAAUUAAUUUUGUGGUCCCUAUAGUGCCCAAAUUUAACUAGAAUUCAAAAUCCUAAUUCUAAGGGGAAAAGGAGAGACAAGCGUUGGUUUUCUUUUAAAAAGAAAACUAACGUGUAAAUUUUUAUUUUGAAGAAAAUCAAUGUGUCUUUUGGUUCUCUUCUUUGAAUUGGGAAUAAAUCUCUAUAAUUAGGGAUUCUUCUAACCCUAGAAAGUUUGAAGGUUUUCUAUUCAUACUUGUCCACCCAAAAAUUGAGAGAGUUCAGAUAUGAACUUGGGAUCAUUGUAGAAGACCGCAAAGAUGCUGUCUACUUGUGGAUUCACUUGAAGGUUUGUCUGACCAGUGGAUUUGCUUGAACGUAUCUACUCUCGCUUCAAGAGGUAAUUCUUCGAUUAAAUUUCAACAACUUUAUGUGUUCUAGCAUAAUUGUAUAUGUUCUAGCUUAAACGUUUUUGAUUAUCUAUUAUUCAUGUAAACAGUAAGAUUGUGAUAUGCUUCCGUUGUGCGCAUAUAGUUUUCCAACAAAUAGUAGCUGUCCAGAUUCACCUUGAUAAUAACCAUGUGACUCCAAAUAUUGGGAAGGGACCUCAUAAGCCGAUGUGCUCAAUGUGACCAUGAGUGGCUUGAUUGCUGGAUUGGAUUUGAGUGGCAUGCUAUCUUGAUUUUCUUGAAUAAUCUUAAUUAGCUACUUUAGGAUUAGAAAUAUGUAAUGUUGGAGCCAUAAUAUCACCAUAUUUUCCAGUAGCCUUCACGAAACCAUCAAAGAUGUUCGAACAUAAUAGGGCUCUUGAAGCAUUACUAAUAUUGUGCCUCUUCUCACAACCUAGAGAUGUACUAGAUGUUGCCUUCUUGAGCAUUACCAUGUUCCUAUCCUCUUUUCUGCCAAAUUCUCUCCCUUUGUUUAAAUCCUUAACUUGCAUUACUGCUAAUAUUGAGCCUUCACUGAGCAAGAUAAAGCCAUGUUGGGGCGGGCUGGACUACCUCAGGAGGAGGAUGUCCAGUGGCCGUAGCAACCAUGGGAGGGCUGCGCGGCCGCUGCCAAGGGAAUCACUAGAGCUGCCAGAACGAGGGGCCCUAUUACCUACUUUAUCAAGUUAAAUUAUUGUAGAGUUGUUAUAGAUUCAACAACAAGGCUCAAUCUAAGAGGCUAUCCUAUAUCCCUUCGUAUUUCUCUUUCUAAUUAAUGAGAGACAACUGACACACAAUAAUCAUCCCUGCUUGAUAAUGCGGUAUAGCAAACGGCAAGGCUACCAAAAUGGGAUGAAGAGAGAAGUACGGCCAGGGGGAGACCAGAAGAAUCAACAUCAAAGAAGCUAGAGAGCCAAUAAGAAGGCAAACCGAGGUUUCAAACUGGCAAAGGGACAAGUGCUACAAUUGCGUAAAGAGAGGACAUUACGCUAGAGAUUGUUGUUACAAGAUAGCUGAAGGUGUUAUAAAAAAGCAAGAUGAAGAAGAAGCUUGGGACUUUGAGACCUCUUAUAUAGAUGAAGAAACCAAGCAAUCAACAUGAAGUUAUUUUCACCUCUCACUCUGACAAGGAAAAGGAGCUUGCACGUGCAAUUGUAAGUGAGAAAUUGGUCGAUUAUUAAAAUGAUUGGAUUGUUGAUUCAAGAUGCUCCAAACACAUGAUCAGAGAUGAGAAAAAGCUUAUUAACAUGAGCAAAUAUAAAGGUAGUUGAGUAAUGGUGACAUCAAAUAAUUCUAGAAUGUAGACUGUGUUUGUGACACAUUAUAGCUCGAGAAAAGUGCAACUUCAAAAUGUAUAUCAUGUUUCAAGGUAUGAAGAAGAAAUUAUUAUCAUGUUUGAACCAAUGAUGUAAAAGUAUAUCGAAACUUGAAAGUUAAUUACAAGCUUUCCAUUCAUUGAGGAAAGAAAAUUAGAGUCAAUCUAUGUAGUGUUAACUGAGACAGCUUAUGUAGAGAAGACUUGGAGUAAUGAAAAAAUAGAUUUAUGGAAUGCACGUCCCGGGCAGAUGAGCUACAACAAGUUAAAAAUCAUGAUGCAACAAUCAAAAUUGUAAUGUCUUUAUCAGCUUGACAUUAAAGGAGACACUAUAUGUGUUGGAUUCCAAUAUGAAAAAAAACACAUCAACUUUCCUACGGGGAAUCUAAGUAUCAAGACAAGAAGUCACUGGAGUUGAUGCACUUAGACAUGUUUGAACCAGUAAAUCGACCUUCUAGUAGUGGUAACUGAUACAUGGUAACCUUCAUUGAUGACUUAUCAAGGUACGUGUGGAUUUACUAUUCGAGGAGAAAUCUGAAGUAUCUGAGAAGUUUAAAGAGUUCUGACAAACAGUGAAGAAUGAUAUUAUAUUGGAAGGAGAAUCAAAUAUCUAUGCAUGGGUAAUAGGGGAGAAUACAUGUCACAUGAGUUCAAUGACUACCAUAAGAGAAGAUGAUACCACAACAAUUUACUUUCCCAAAUAUGUAACAACAAAAUGGAGUAGCAGAAAGAGAAAAUAGACACCUGACAAGGAUAUGCAGAAUUAUGUUUCAUAGUAUACAUGUACCAGCAAGGUUUUGAGCAAAAUGCAUGAAGACUAUUGGAAUUCAUCUCACCAUUCGAGAAACUCAAGAAGAUAAUAACUAAUGUAAAUCACUUUCGAGAUUUUGGAUGUGUGUGCUAUGUGCUCAUGCCAGAACAUCUCCACAACAAGUUUGAUAAAAAGGUUGUUGGUUGCAUCUUUAUCGGUUAUGCUGAACAAAUAAAAGGAUGGAGGUGAUGUGACCCUACCACUAAUAGCACAUAUGUGUCAAGCAAUCUGGUAUUUGAUGAAGCAUCAACAUGGUGGUCCAAAUAGGUAAUUUCCUAUUAGAUUCAAUAUCACUUGAGCAAAAGCUACAAGACAAGAUCAAAGUAAAUAAUAGGGGAGAAGGAUAGAAACUAACCAAGAGGAAUGAGGAAAACUCAAAUCACCUACACCAGAGGUAUCUCCACCCACAAAAAAGAAGGAGAGGUCAUGGCAAAUUGAAGCAUGUGAAACUCCUGUGAUAUUGCAAGAAGAAGUCCAAGAAGCACCACAAUUGUGACUAAGGAGGUCUACAUAAUUGAAAUUCCCAAACACCAAGUAUAAUGAUGCAACAUUAGCAGAGCGGUCUAGAUCAAGGAGACUACUACCUUCGAAGAGGAUUCAAAGAGAAGUGAG
Molecule: long non-coding RNA, 3979 nt
Filed under: Solanum tuberosum (potato)
Lineage: Eukaryota; Viridiplantae; Streptophyta; Magnoliopsida; Solanales; Solanaceae
Description: long non-coding RNA (STUB_LNC004897)
Source: RNAcentral